CGGGGGACGGGGGACGGGGCAGUCUCCUGGGCCUGCCCGUGCUCGGCUCCCCGGAAACGCGAGGAGAGGGCGCCGCGGGGAGACGGCUGUUUACCUGGGGCGGCGGCAGGAGUUUAUGGCGAUGCUGUAUCUUUGAACUUACAAGUUGAAGCACACCUUGUGUUUUUAGCCACGAAUUGUCUUUGUAGCUCUUGAGAAUUCCCACCUUGAACAUGGGAUAAGAAAUGGUGCCUUCUAUCUUCGUUGUUUCCACUGUUAGCUGAGUGCUUUGAAAAUCCAAAUUGUUCUGUCCGUGCAUAACUUCUGUUUGACUGAAACUUGGGGAGCUCGUUUCUCCUCUCUUAGAGUCUGCCUGCCUUUCAUCAUCUUCAGCUGAAAUCCCACCAUCUGGACUUAAUUUCGGCUCUGAGGUGCUCUUCACGUUGUCUGAUGCAAGUCGAUCGCCGUCUGGGGAUGCUGGCGUGCUUGUGCUGGGUGGCAGGCGAAGGCUGCCCUGACGCUCUGGGACCAGGUGCGUUCUUUGGUCCUUCUCUUCCUUCACACGGAAGGAACCAACUUUUUUCCUGAACCCUGUCCCUGGUGGCAUGCAGCGGGAAGUAUCCUCAUACAACUCCUCCCCGUUGAAAAGAUACCUAUACAUGCUGUAGCCAUCGGCACUGUUGAUGCUGCUUUGCCUUAGAAGGUAUGUUGCAUCGCACUCAGAAGAAGCCCGGGACCGGGUCUGUAUCAGGUCGGACUUGUCGAUUCCUGCGAGGUUUUCCAGCGCAUUUACCAUUCUGCUAGAUAGUUCUUCCAGUUGGGAAAGGCGAAGGUCAACAGUCUGCAGGGAAGUUUUCAUAAAGUUUUCUCUUUCGUUGAUUUCUUCCAACCUCAUGGACAUAUUUUCAACUCUGGCGGAUACAAAGGGGUAGGUUUAUUACACUGAGAUGA
This is a long non-coding RNA of Lagenorhynchus albirostris (white-beaked dolphin), 930 nucleotides long. RefSeq lists it as uncharacterized. The record is from RefSeq and is a predicted model, not a curated record. The transcript is spliced from 3 exons. Lineage: Eukaryota; Metazoa; Chordata; Mammalia; Artiodactyla; Delphinidae.